CCAGCCGGUGGAAGGCACGGUCGACCUCGGCUCGCUGCAGGCGGGCCAGCGCUACAGCGUGUUCCUCGUUCCCGCCGGCAGGA
This 83-nucleotide transfer RNA is filed under the name Variovorax paradoxus. Its description in RNAcentral is "tRNA-Cys". The record is from RNAcentral. Lineage: Bacteria; Pseudomonadati; Pseudomonadota; Betaproteobacteria; Burkholderiales; Comamonadaceae.